AACGAACGCUGGCGGCAGGCCUAACACAUGCAAGUCGAGCGGACCCUUCGGGGUUAGCGGCGGACGGGUGAGUAACGCGUGGGAAUAUGCCCUUCUCUACGGAAUAGUCCUGGGAAACUGGGGGUAAUACCGUAUACGCCCUUUGGGGGAAAGAUUUAUCGGGGAAGGAUUAGCCCGCGUUGGAUUAGGUAGUUGGUGGGGUAAUGGCCUACCAAGCCGACGAUCCAUAGCUGGUUUGAGAGGAUGAUCAGCCACACUGGGACUGAGACACGGCCCAGAUUCCUACGGGAGGCAGCAGUGGGGAAUCUUAGACAAUGGGGGCAACCCUGAUCUAGCCAUGCCGCGUGAGUGAUGAAGGCCUUAGGGUUGUAAAGCUCUUUCAGCUGGGAAGAUAAUGACGGUACCAGCAGAAGAAGCCCCGGCUAACUCCGU
RNAcentral lists this ribosomal RNA (432 nucleotides) under uncultured bacterium. RNAcentral's name for it is "partial 16S ribosomal RNA". It matches the Rfam family "Bacterial small subunit ribosomal RNA", at positions 29 to 506 of the family's 1533-position model. The record is from RNAcentral.